This is a non-coding RNA of Vicia faba (fava bean), 270 nucleotides long. The record is from the annotation of a GenBank genome assembly. Lineage: Eukaryota; Viridiplantae; Streptophyta; Magnoliopsida; Fabales; Fabaceae.
AUGAAAAGAGGGAUUAGGGUAACAAGUUGCGACUCUUCAUCUCUCUCGCACGAUCCUCUUCACUCUCUCCUCAAUGGCGGUAUAUUGACUCCCUUUUCCCUGUCAAUGAACGCCAACGCAACCGCCACUUCGCAUCUAUGUUUCGAUCUCAAACCAUCUCCUAUCAAUAUGGUAUGGUCGUUCAUCUCCAUUCACAAAGGCGACUCACCUCCUCUCGACAUCGUCUCAAUUUCAAACACCGCUAGCUUCUUCAGACAUCAUACGCUCUGA